This 274-nucleotide ribosomal RNA is filed under the name uncultured bacterium. RNAcentral describes it as "partial 16S ribosomal RNA". It matches the Rfam family "Bacterial small subunit ribosomal RNA", at positions 523 to 796 of the family's 1533-position model. The record is from RNAcentral.
AUACGGAGGGGGCUAGCGUUGUUCGGAAUUACUGGGCGUAAAGCGCACGUAGGCGGAUUGGUCAGUUGGGGGUGAAAUCCCAGGGCUCAACCCUGGAACUGCCUCCAAUACUGCCAAUCUUGAGUCCGGAAGAGGUGAGUGGAAUUCCUAGUGUAGAGGUGAAAUUCGUAGAUAUUAGGAAGAACACCAGUGGCGAAGGCGGCUCACUGGUCCGGUACUGACGCUGAGGCCCGAAAGCGUGGGGAGCAAACAGGAUUAGAAACCCUAGUAGUCC